AGUUGUUAUUUUGGGCUUUAGUCAGCUGGGGAAAUUCAUAGUGGAAAAACAACCAAAGCUUCAGCACAGUUCAAAAGGAGCAGCACAGUUAUAUCCCAGACGUCACUUAUACAGUCAGCAGACAAUAUUUGGAGUACAAAUAGGGACUUCUUGCAAUAACUGCAGCUCAUGGGCAGGUAACAACUUGCUGAGACCAUACUGCCAGAGCAGUUCAGAGAAGGACACAUUUCCAAAGUCCCAUCUUCUCUACCAGGGUACAGGAGAAAAGAGCACCUAAAUUCUAUUGGAUUGGCGGAAAGUAGAAUGGAGGAAUCGUUGGAAGCAAAGGAACUUGGUCACAGGAGGCAAGUCUUUGGGAAGCCCAAAGGAUGUGUGGAUGGACACACGGGAUCUUAGUUCCCCAACCAGAGAUCAAACCCGCACCCCCUGCAGUGGAAGCAUGGAGUCUUAAUCACUGGACCACCAGGGAAGUCCCCUGUACUGUAUAUUUUGUAAUGCCUCUAGCAGGAUGUGGGCAGCAUUCUGUAUCCAAAUAUGUUGCUAUUUCUGCAAUGAAGUGUAUGGAUCAUGGAUCAUCAUACCAGGUCACCACUCUUCAGCACUGCAAUUACGCAUCAAGGGACAAAGGGAACAACUGAAGUCCAAGGCUGUGGUAGUGAUUUCUCAAUUGUCAUUGAGUGGUCACCCCCACAUCACACCGUUCUCCUAUGCGCGUAUGUCCUAGCUGAGCAGAAGAGCAGAAGAAGCAUGAGCCACUCCGUGCCCUGGCCUGUGUAGAAGGCCUCCAUGCUUGGCAAUCACUUACUCACCUUUCCAGAAUCCACUCAGGGCAGUACGACACAACAGUUACAGUUACUGAUGUUAGAAAGGCCUGGGUGCACGUCCCAGCCCUACAGCUUACCAGCAUGCAAACUUCUAUGAUAUUAAACCUCUCAGGGCUUUAGUUUCCUCACCUGUAAAAUGGGGGUAAUAAUAGCACUUGCCUUGUUGCUGUUGCAAGGAUUAAGCGAAUGAGCAUAUGUCAAGUACUGAGGAGGGAGCUGUCCUAGAAUGAGCACUUGAUAUUAUUCCUAUGGAAAAGCCCUUUCUGCCCCCAAGCAGCCACUCUCUUCUCUACCUUGUACACUUGCCUAUCUGAGCUCUUCUACCACUUUUUUCCUGUUUAUUUGCCAAUGUAUGUUUCUUGCUAUUAAACUCUGAGACCUUAAGAA
Molecule: long non-coding RNA, 1211 nt
Organism: Balaenoptera ricei (Rice's whale)
Lineage: Eukaryota; Metazoa; Chordata; Mammalia; Artiodactyla; Balaenopteridae
Exons: 3
Source: RefSeq, a predicted model, not a curated record